GCCUUCGCGGUGUAAUGGUCAGUAAACUGGGCUCGUAUUCGAGAGGUCCGUGGUUCAAGUCCCGGCGAGGGCA
Molecule: transfer RNA, 73 nt
Filed under: Stegodyphus mimosarum
Lineage: Eukaryota; Metazoa; Arthropoda; Arachnida; Araneae; Eresidae
Rfam family: tRNA
About the family: Transfer RNA (tRNA) molecules are approximately 80 nucleotides in length. Their secondary structure includes four short double-helical elements and three loops (D, anti-codon, and T loops). Further hydrogen bonds mediate the characteristic L-shaped molecular structure. tRNAs have two regions of fundamental functional importance: the anti-codon, which is responsible for specific mRNA codon recognition, and the 3' end, to which the tRNAs corresponding amino acid is attached (by aminoacyl-tRNA synthetases). tRNAs cope with the degeneracy of the genetic code in two manners: having more than one tRNA (with a specific anti-codon) for a particular amino acid; and 'wobble' base-pairing, i.e. permitting non-standard base-pairing at the 3rd anti-codon position.
Source: Rfam by way of RNAcentral